Crotalus tigris (Tiger rattlesnake) is the source of this 2555-nucleotide long non-coding RNA. RefSeq lists it as uncharacterized. The record is from RefSeq and is a predicted model, not a curated record. The transcript is spliced from 8 exons. Lineage: Eukaryota; Metazoa; Chordata; Lepidosauria; Squamata; Viperidae.
GACAAAUGGCAAGGAGGAAGAAAGUGACAUUAUUGUUGUUGUUGUUAACAAUCUGCAGUUAGAUUCAUAGGUUAAGACUGGUAGAAAUUUAAUGAUUCCAGUCUUAUUAUUAUUAGCAGUACUAGUAGUACUAGUAGUAGCAUUAAUCUAUAGUUAGAUUCACAAUCUAAGAUUGAUGAAAACUAAAUAAUUCAAAUCCUAACCAAAGACUUAAGAAGUAUUAAGGUAGUGCCUAAGGACACAAGCAAUUCCAAACAACGUUUUGCUAAAAUUGGGUUGUUUUUUUUUAAAAAAAAAAAGGGCGUUCACUAUGAUUAUUUUUCUGCUUCAAUUGAUAAGAAGCAAAUUCUUGGUGUCAGCCUUGCAAGAUAGAUAAGACUAGAAAAGCAAAGUCACUUGCAAGCCAGUAUAAUUUUUUAUGACAAGGUUAUAGUAACGAAAUCCAUAAUGGACUGUGUCUGAUAAACAAAAUAUGAUUCUACAGCAGAAAAAAAAAAUAAGAACCGUACAAAGAAGUGCAUUCUAAUUUUUCACAAUAAACAAAUUUUAAAGGAAGAUCUCAACCAUAAUCAAGAAACCCAGAAACAUUUGGCCACCACUGAACACACUCACAAAAAUUAAACCACAAAACAACAGAUGCCCAAAUGCAGAAAAGAUCGGUUUUAAUCUCUCUGAAGGACAGCAGCUGGAAAGUGUGAUUAAGUGGCCAAAAAAGCCAACACAGUGCUGGGCUGCAUUAACAGACGGAUAGAAUCAAGAUCACGUGAAGUGUUAAUACCACUUUACAAUGCUGUGGUGAAAGAUUGAAAAUGGAUGGUUUACUGCAGAUAAACCGCUGAAGAAGAAGAAAAAUGUGGAUUAAAAGAUUACAUCAAGGGAAGCUAAAAAAAAAAUGUUCAUGCAAUUUGGUCUUGUCCUAAUAUUGUGGCAGUCUGAUAAAAGGUCUUGGUGACACUGUGACUCCGGAAUUGCCAAAUGUUUAGAAAAAAGGAGGCAGAAAAUGAAAAGCAAGAAAAGAAAUCUAGACCCCUUGAGGAAAGAGGGAAGGCUAUCUCAGCACUUCUAAGGAACGAAACACUAUUCUGCAAUCUUAUUGCAAACAAGGAUUUUCUGAUGCCCAUUGGUGAGUUUGUAAUUUGCCUAUAUAUUAUUUUUUCCUGCAGCUCAGUCUAGAUUCCCUUGCUAAGGACUGGCCAGUUGAGUUUCAUCUAUAAAUACAAGUUCCUAAGGUAUCCCUGAGUGACCCCAAGCGAAGAGAAAUGCUGAGUUUUCUCAGAAGCACUUGCCUAGAUAGAGGAGGAGAUGGAACAAGGUAGACCCAAUAGCGGGAAGGAAAUGCAAAAUAAAAUAGGAUUGGUCCUAUAGCAGCUUCAUCCAUAUGUUAAACUGUACUGACCUCCUCUCUUGAUCACAACACAACCUCCUGAUAAGAAUUGAGACUAGAAGAAUCCAUACUGGGGCCGGAUUGGGAAGUACAGUAAGAUCAAAGUUAAAAUUUUCCUACUCUCCAAAAUGAAGGUGCCAGUCUGGGCAGAGGUGGGAUUCAGCCAGUUCGCACCAGUUCGGCAGAAUCGGUAGCUAAUUUUUUGUUGCCCAGACCCAGAAUGGACUUCCGGAAGCGGCAUUCACACAGAGAACCAGUGGUUCACAUAUUUGAAUCCCAACACUGAGUCUGGGGCUCCAUCUUUCAUUAGCUAUUUAUAGAAAUGUACGGCUGGAAAGGACCUUGGAGGUCUUCUCCAAGGUGAUGCCCAAGAGACUAUGCUUUUAGCUGCGAUGGCUUAUCUGCCCCUCAAAAAAAUUAUAAAAAGUGAAGAGCAGACCUUCCAGAUCAUGAUUUGAAGAAAAGAAGGAUCACCUUUUUCUACAGAGUUGUUUCCCAAGACAGUAAACCCGAUCCCUGCUUUCUGCAACAGUUGCCUUGUUUACAGCAUCAGGUUUUGCACAGGGAAUUAUCAGUUGGAGAGAAAGUCACAGCUGAGGGAUUCAUACACAACACCACACACGCAGCAAUCCAAAGACUCUAUUCAGUUCUGGUCAUCUGCAUCCCAGUUUGCCACAGCAACAGAUAGGUUCCUACAGCAGCAUCUGGUCAUCCAUGCGAAGAUGCAGGAAAGCCAAGGUGGAAAACUUUUCAGAAAUUAGCUGGUAGCGAAGAAGCAGCAACGAAUCAAAUUAUGUUCUCUGAGAUUAAAAUCAGCCAUAAGCAAAAGGAAAGAGCAGCUUUCUCUCUGUCUCCAGGAAGGAACUUUCUGCCAAACUGAAUGAAGCUAAAUCGGCUUUCUGGCUACGCAAGGUGGCUCCACUCUGAAUUAGAGCAAAAUCCAGAGUUUCCGCAACAAGUCAAGAUUGUUUCCCCACCCCUGAAUGGGAUUUAUGGAUUAUGCAACCUUUGGUAAUACAAUUCUCCUUCCCUCUUAGUCCAUUAUUGCUGAAAAUACUGUGGUUAUUAUUAAGAGCUCUCCUCUCCCAGACAAGGAAGUUUACUCUAAGUCAUGCACAAAUACUGUGUAUUGUUUGACCUGCUAAAGGUUUAUAUGUGAUAAUUUUAAAAA